UACGUAGGGGGCAAGCGUUGUCCGGAUUUAUUGGGCGUAAAGAGCGUGUAGGCGGCUAUGCAGGUCCGUUGUGAAAACUCGAGGCUCAACCUCGAGACGCCGAUGGAAACCGUAUGGCUAGAGUCCGGAAGAGGAGAGCGGAAUUCCUGGUGUAGCGGUGAAAUGCGCAGAUAUCAGGAAGAACACCCGUGGCGAAGGCGGCUCUCUGGGACGGUACUGACGCUGAGACGCGAAAGCGUGGGGAGCGAACAGG
This 253-nucleotide ribosomal RNA is filed under the name uncultured bacterium. RNAcentral's name for it is "partial 16S ribosomal RNA". It matches the Rfam family "Bacterial small subunit ribosomal RNA", at positions 524 to 776 of the family's 1533-position model. The record is from RNAcentral.